AAUUCUGACUUUUUCUCAGAAUUGCAUGAUAAAAACUUGCAAAUGUGAGUUACAAAGUCAAAGCUCAAUUGUGAGGGAAAAAACACUAUU
Sinocyclocheilus anshuiensis is the source of this 90-nucleotide long non-coding RNA. RefSeq lists it as uncharacterized. The record is from RefSeq and is a predicted model, not a curated record. The transcript has 3 exons. NCBI's taxonomy places the organism in Eukaryota, Metazoa, Chordata, Actinopteri, Cypriniformes, Cyprinidae.